AGAGUUUGAUCCUGGCUCAGAGCGAACGCUGGCGGCAGGCUUAACACAUGCAAGUCGAACGGGCGUAGCAAUACGUCAGUGGCAGACGGGUGAGUAACGCGUGGGAACGUACCUUUUGGUUCGGAACAACUGAGGGAAACUUCAGCUAAUACCGGAUAAGCCCUUACGGGGAAAGAUUUAUCGCCGAAAGAUCGGCCCGCGUCUGAUUAGCUAGUUGGUGGGGUAAUGGCCCACCAAGGCGACGAUCAGUAGCUGGUCUGAGAGGAUGAUCAGCCACAUUGGGACUGAGACACGGCCCAAACUCCUACGGGAGGCAGCAGUGGGGAAUAUUGGACAAUGGGGGCAACCCUGAUCCAGCCAUGCCGCGUGAGUGAUGAAGGCCCUAGGGUUGUAAAGCUCUUUUGUGCGGGAAGAUAAUGACGGUACCGCAAGAAUAAGCCCCGGCUAACUUCGUGCCAGCAGCCGCGGUAAUACGAAGGGGGCUAGCGUUGCUCGGAAUCACUGGGCGUAAAGGGUGCGUAGGCGGGUUUCUAAGUCAGAGGUGAAAGCCUGGAGCUCAACUCCAGAACUGCCUUUGAUACUGGAAGUCUUGAGUAUGGCAGAGGUGAGUGGAACUGCGAGUGUAGAGGUGAAAUUCGUAGAUAUUCGCAAGAACACCAGUGGCGAAGGCGGCUCACUGGGCCAUUACUGACGCUGAGGCACGAAAGCGUGGGGAGCAAACAGGAUUAGAUACCCUGGUAGUCCACGCCG
RNAcentral lists this ribosomal RNA (750 nucleotides) under uncultured bacterium. Its description in RNAcentral is "bacterial SSU rRNA". It matches the Rfam family "Bacterial small subunit ribosomal RNA", at positions 8 to 802 of the family's 1533-position model. The record is from RNAcentral.